RNAcentral lists this long non-coding RNA (367 nucleotides) under Heterocephalus glaber (naked mole-rat). RNAcentral describes it as "lncRNA (ENSHGLG00000047524.1)". Lineage: Eukaryota; Metazoa; Chordata; Mammalia; Rodentia; Bathyergidae. The record is from RNAcentral.
GGGCAGGCACCCUGAAAGGGCACCCCGCAAGCUUGCCCAGGCCCGCUCUUCUCCGAAGUCCUAUAGUUCCACUGGGCAGCAGAAGGAGGCGGACAGCCUACUCCUGCCCCUCGGCCGGACGACCCGCGGCUGCCGCGCCCAGCACCUCUGCACCUGCCUGGCUGAGAAAGACGGCCGCUCUUUGGGAGAAGCUGGUGUCUGGCUUGCCCUGUAGCCAGUCCCCAAAGGCUCCGCGAGCUCGCUGGGGACCUGGCAGCGCCCUGCGCGCUGCGCGGGAGGCAGGUCCCCUGGAGCGCAGAGAAAGAACCCUCAGCUCUGUCGCUCCGCACCGAGGUAAUCAGUCUCCCAGCGAAAGCCGAGAAGCGGC